GAUGAAGAACGCAGCGAAAUGCGAUAAGUAAUGUGAAUUGCAGAAUUCAGUGAAUCAUCGAAUCUUUGAACGCACAUUGCGCCCGCCAGUAUUCUGGCGGGCAUGCCUGUUCGAGCGUCAUUUCAACCCUCAGGCCCCCAGUGCCUGGCGUUGGGGAUCGGCGCGGCGCCCUCCGGGGCGCUGCCGGCCCCGAAAUUCAGUGGCGGUCUCGCUGUAGCCCUCCUCCGCGUAGUAGCACAACCUCGCGGCCUGGAGCUCGGCGGUGGCCAUGCCGUAAACCACCCCCCUUCUGAAAGUUGACCUCGGAUCAGGUAGGAAUACCCGCUGAACUUAAGCAUAUCAAUAAGCGGAGGA
RNAcentral lists this unclassified non-coding RNA (354 nucleotides) under soil metagenome. Its description in RNAcentral is "partial contains 5.8S ribosomal RNA, internal transcribed spacer 2, and large subunit ribosomal RNA". The stretch from base 1 to 120 matches the Rfam family "5.8S ribosomal RNA", at positions 35 to 154 of the family's 154-position model. The record is from RNAcentral.